Molecule: ribosomal RNA, 315 nt
Filed under: uncultured Trichococcus sp.
Lineage: Bacteria; Bacillati; Bacillota; Bacilli; Lactobacillales; Carnobacteriaceae
Description: bacterial SSU rRNA
Rfam family: Bacterial small subunit ribosomal RNA
Source: RNAcentral
AGAGUUUGAUCCUGGCUCAGGACGAACGCUGGCGGCGUGCCUAAUACAUGCAAGUCGAACGGUCUUUUCUAUGGAAGCUUGCUUCCACUGAGAAGAUAGUGGCGAACGGGUGAGUAACACGUGGGUAACCUGCCCAUAAGAGGGGGAUAACAUCCGGAAACGGGUGCUAAUACCGCAUAGUUUUCUUGAUCGCAUGAUCGAGAAGGAAGGACGGCCUUUGUGCUGUCGCUUAUGGAUGGACCCGCGGGGUAUUAGUUAGUUGGUGAGGUAAGGCUCCCCCAAGACGAUGAUACCGUGCCCGACCUGAGAGGGUGA